UACGGAGGGUGCGAGCGUUGUCCGGAAUCACUGGGCGUAAAGGGCGCGUAGGCGGCAUGCCAAGCGUGUGGUGAAAGCCCGGGGCUCAACCCCGGGUCGGCCGUGCGGACUGACGUGCUCGAGCACUGUAGGGGCGGGUGGAAUUCCGAGUGUAGAGGUGAAAUUCGUAGAUAUUCGGAAGAACACCAGUGGCGAAGGCGGCUCACUGGACCGGUAUUGACGCUGAGGUGCGAAAGCGUGGGGAGCAAACAGG
This 253-nucleotide ribosomal RNA is filed under the name uncultured bacterium. RNAcentral describes it as "partial 16S ribosomal RNA". It matches the Rfam family "Bacterial small subunit ribosomal RNA", at positions 524 to 776 of the family's 1533-position model. The record is from RNAcentral.